RNAcentral lists this ribosomal RNA (479 nucleotides) under uncultured bacterium. RNAcentral describes it as "bacterial SSU rRNA". It matches the Rfam family "Bacterial small subunit ribosomal RNA", at positions 27 to 507 of the family's 1533-position model. The record is from RNAcentral.
GGAUGAACGCUAGCGGCAGGCUUAACACAUGCAAGUCGAGGGGUAUGGUUUUCGGACCAAGAGACCGGCGCACGGGUGCGUAACGCGUAUGCAAUCUACCUUUUGCAGAGGGAUAGCCCAGAGAAAUUUGGAUUAAUACCUCAUAGUAUAGUACUUUGGCAUCAAGGAACUAUUAAAGUCACAACGGCAAAAGAUGAGCAUGCGUCCCAUUAGCUAGUUGGUAAGGUAACGGCUUACCAAGGCUACGAUGGGUAGGGGGUCCUGAGAGGGAGAUCCCCCACACUGGUACUGAGACACGGACCAGACUCCUACGGGAGGCAGCAGUGAGGAAUAUUGGACAAUGGGCGCAAGCCUGAUCCAGCCAUGCCGCGUGCAGGAUGACGGUCCUAUGGAUUGUAAACUGCUUUUAUACAGGAAGAAACACUCCGACGUGUCGGAGCUUGACGGUACUGUAAGAAUAAGGAUCGGCUAACUCCGUG